This 96-nucleotide microRNA precursor is filed under the name Caenorhabditis remanei. RNAcentral describes it as "mir-60". The stretch from base 11 to 82 matches the Rfam family "mir-60 microRNA precursor family". Lineage: Eukaryota; Metazoa; Nematoda; Chromadorea; Rhabditida; Rhabditidae. RNAcentral also lists the same sequence under 1 other name. The record is from RNAcentral.
AAACCGCUUGUUCUUGAGCUAGAAAGGUGACAUAAAAUCAUGUAUGACAACGCGAUAUUAUGCACAUUUUCUAGACCAAGACAUGAUUUAUCGGUU